Long non-coding RNA from Pocillopora damicornis (cauliflower coral), 2826 nucleotides. The record is from RefSeq and is a predicted model, not a curated record. NCBI's taxonomy places the organism in Eukaryota, Metazoa, Cnidaria, Anthozoa, Scleractinia, Pocilloporidae.
UCAUGUUAUUUAGAAACAGCUCAGUAAUGAAGCACAUAAUGUUGGCAAGAGAACAAGGAAUUUCUUCCAGAAGGAAACAAAGAUGAGUAAAGAUCCCUUCCUAAUACAAUUUGAAAAUUAGGUGGCACAAAAGUUGAGCAUCCAGCUGAGAAAUUAUAGAGGUUAAUAAAAAUAAAAUUAGAGCCUAAAACACAUCCCUCAGGUGACAAUCGAUUCAUAACAGAGACACAUCCUGCCUACACAUUUGUUGUGGUUACCCUCCAAGGUUGAGUGACAACAAAAGCUGAUAAACACGCAGUUCGAAGACUUGAACCACGAAAUUGCACAGGAGCGGACGUAAAACAGCCUAACACAAGUCUUGGACAGAUUACCAUUGGGGUCAUUUCAAUUCAGCGGUUCCACUAUUUACCAUGAAAAACGUCGAGCGACAGAGAGUGCGAGGCAAUCAGGCAAUGAAGUACGAAGAUGCCAUGAAACAGGCGUUUCACGAAAUAUAUCAGAAUCUCAGAGUGAUUGAAGAGGGAACAAAAAAGAAACGAGAGAAAUUAGACCUUCAACGACGGAGAGGGAGUGCUCCUCCUACAACGCUUAGAAAAACAACAGCUGCUUUUGAGAGAGCAAGGACAGAUGCUGUAAGAAAGGUGUCAACGCCACAACCGGUGCGUUGCUCUAAAGUGAAGGAAGACAUAUGAAUUUUAACAUAAACUGAGGUUUGAAAUCAAGAGUGUUUGAGUGUUAAAAGCGAUGAAGAUGUGAGCAAUGAAAACUUUUUGUCAACGGAGCCACCAUUGUUUUAAUCUGUAAUUUGCCAAGAGAAGUUCAAUGUUUCCGCGUCAUCGAUGAGCGAUUACAAAGUGGAAACACCUCAGGAGAAAACACAACCAACUUGCAGCAAGGUUAGACCAACCGGUUUGAAUGUUGAAAGAAUAUUUUGUGAAUCACAAAUAUCAUCUGCUGAUACUCCUAUGAGAGAAACUGCCUUGGUUGCAUCGCUGUUUGCUUGCUGUAAUUAACAACAUAACCAUAGGGAUCAGUAUACGCAGUCGAGUAACGAGAGUUUUCACUCGUGUGAAGUAAGGCAUUUUUAAUCAUGCAAAUACAAAUGCUACUCACUACGACUGUUCGAAAGAAGGUCACGUUAUUCCAGGAUUAGAAGUUAACCUAGGUAAUGAUUUUUUCUUCGGUAAAAGCGUAUAUUAUGGCUAACCUUUUGUGGUGUUUCAUGCGAAGAAAACAAAGUAUACACUAAACAGAUUUCUACGAAGCUAUAAAAUUCAGUCCACAAAAAUCUACCGUUGCUGUGGAUAAACUUUACUGACCGUUUUGAACCACUACGUCUAUUUAAUAUGAUCUGUGGUCUAAUUAACGAGUUUGGAAUCUCAUAACAUUGAUUAUUCAAAGAAUACUGACUGAUAGCAGCCGUGGAAAAUCUAAGUUAUUUACCAGCUAUGGAUUUCUUUAGACACAUGGUGUUGCUCUCUGAGGUGGCAGGGCUUAGGCAAAAAGAGUGAAUCAUGACAUGACCUUAUUGUUCGAGAGCAAAAACGCCUAAUUUCUUUCAAAAAAGUAUCGUGUGUUUUGAACAUUGUUUUGAGGUGGCAAAUUCUAUGCAUUAGUAAUAAGGAAAAAUAGUCUAUGCUCGAAAUAACUAACUAAUCAAUUGAGGUGAAAGUAAAUAGGAAAAAACUUAUCUCUUACUAAGGAUAUGUUUUUGCACAACAUCAUGACUUUUACUUUGUCUCAAAAGCAUUUUAAGCCACGUUAUCAUUUACGUUAAUAGAAUCACUAGACGAAUCUACAAAAAUUUCAGACGAAUGCCAUAAGGUCAAAACACAGAUCUAAAACAAAGAGAGAUUAGACACAUAAGAUAAUAAAAUCCUUCUCAUGAAACAAUAAUGUAUAAAAUAACAUUGGGAAAGUUAAUUCUAACACGAUAAAAACAACCGUGUAUAUUGUCACGCUUUUGGAGUGAAAUAUGUUCAAUGACAAAACCGCAAAGCGUGUGUCAUGUAAGAUCUGGGAGCGAUGUGAAAUCAAGUGUGCAAUUAUCUAUUCCUGAGUGGUCAGUAAGGUCAGAGUUCUUUAAGUUUUUUUAAGGUGCAAAGUUUUCCUCGUGAUUUUCAAAUGUAAUUUUUGUUGAACAGGGUACGUGAUGGUAUUGAGUCAAUUCACUUAACGCUGAUUCGCUUCACUUCAGGAAAAGAGUGCAAAUUAGGGGGACCUGUUAAUUUGCUUUGUUUUAAAAAUAUUUCGCAAGCCAAUCUCAUCUUGUGAUGAUCAAUUAGUUUUGCUCAAAAUGCAAAAAAAAAAAAGAAAAGAAAAAGCCUGCAUUCAAGUUUUAAAACACUGACAAAAAAAUGGUAACCUAUGAAAGUUGAGGUGAAGUGGUUUAAUUGAGUGGUCAUUUCAUAAGUUUUCGGACAAUGCAAUAAUUUACUUAAGCAGUAAAAAGGUCAUUGGAUCAUGGAGCUGUUGUUUGGUAUGACGUUUGCAAAGUUUAAGUUGAUUAUCUCGAAACAUUGUGUUAUAAACAGAAUAAGGAAGAAUGCAAAUGUUAAUCUCUGUUAUGAUGGAAUAAAUAAAUAUGAUAUUCAUCUUUAGUCGAAUAAUAUCAUUAUUGAUUUCUCUUCUUAACUAAAAAAGACCUACACCAAGGUACGAUUUGAACAUCAGGUGAAGGAGAGGUCAAGCCAAUAUCGUUGCUUUCACUUUGCAUAUUAGCAUAACGAUAAGAUUUUGCUAGGACAGACAAGAGGGAACCAAGCAGCUCGUCAAGACUAAUACAGUGAAAACAGUUUCAAAAUAAAAUAUUACAAUACCGUGUUA